AUAUUGGUAGUUCAGUGAUAGAAUUUUCACUUUCCAUGUGGAAGACGCAGGUUCAAGUCCUAGCCAGUGCU
Molecule: transfer RNA, 71 nt
Filed under: Loxodonta africana (African savanna elephant)
Lineage: Eukaryota; Metazoa; Chordata; Mammalia; Proboscidea; Elephantidae
Rfam family: tRNA
About the family: Transfer RNA (tRNA) molecules are approximately 80 nucleotides in length. Their secondary structure includes four short double-helical elements and three loops (D, anti-codon, and T loops).
Source: Rfam by way of RNAcentral